RNAcentral lists this ribosomal RNA (399 nucleotides) under uncultured Lachnospiraceae bacterium. RNAcentral describes it as "bacterial SSU rRNA". It matches the Rfam family "Bacterial small subunit ribosomal RNA", at positions 358 to 774 of the family's 1533-position model. The record is from RNAcentral. Lineage: Bacteria; Bacillati; Bacillota; Clostridia; Lachnospirales; Lachnospiraceae.
GGAAUAUUGCACAAUGGGGGAAACCCUGAUGCAGCGACGCCGCGUGAGUGAAGAAGUAUUUCGGUAUGUAAAGCUCUAUCAGCAGGGAAGAAAAUGACGGUACCUGCAGAAGAAGCCCCGGCUAACUACGUGCCAGCAGCCGCGGUAAUACGUAGGGGGCAAGCGUUAUCCGGAUUUACUGGGUGUAAAGGGAGCGUAGACGGCCUGGCAAGUCUGAUGUGAAAGCUCGGGGCUCAACCCCGGAACUGCAUUGGAAACUGUUAGGCUCGAGUGCCGGAGAGGCAAGCGGAAUUCCUAGUGUAGCGGUGAAAUGCGUAGAUAUUAGGAAGAACACCAGUGGCGAAGGCGGCUUGCUGGACGGUAACUGACGUUGAGGCUCGAAAGCGUGGGGAGCAAACA